UGAGGGAAUAUUGGGUCAAUGGGGCGGGAGCCUGAACCAGCCAAGUCGCGUGAGGGAGGAAGGUCCUACGGAUUGUAAACCUCUUUAGCCGGGGAGCAACGUGCGCCACGCGUGGCGCAGUGAGAGUACCCGGAGAAUAAGCAUCGGCUAACUCCGUGCCAGCAGCCGCGGUAAUACGGAGGAUGCGAGCGUUAUCCGGAUUUAUUGGGUUUAAAGGGAGCGUAGGCGGGCUAUUAAGUCAGCUGUGAAAUCCGGCGGCUCAACCGUCGGCCUGCAGUUGAUACUGGUGGUCUUGAGUGCGCGCAGGGGCGUUGGAAUUCAUGGUGUAGCGGUGAAAUGCUCAGAUAUCAUGAAGAACUCCGAUCGCGAAGGCAGAUGCCCGGAGCGCAACUGACGCUGAGGCUCGAAAGUGCGGGUAU
This 419-nucleotide ribosomal RNA is filed under the name uncultured Prevotellaceae bacterium. RNAcentral's name for it is "bacterial SSU rRNA". It matches the Rfam family "Bacterial small subunit ribosomal RNA", at positions 354 to 768 of the family's 1533-position model. The record is from RNAcentral. Lineage: Bacteria; Pseudomonadati; Bacteroidota; Bacteroidia; Bacteroidales; Prevotellaceae.